AUAUAGAAAACUAUUAUAAAUUUGUUCAUUUUAUUAUGACAUACAUAAUAUAUGUGUGACAGACUUUUCUAUUAAUUGCCAUUUUUAAGGUUUAGGUUUUUUGGAUUUCUUACAUAAAUAUUGUGUCAUUCUAGUAAUGACCAAAAACAGAGGGUUAAUUCAGUUAUUUUUGGCCAAAUUUGUGUCAAAGUAGUUAAAUUUCACUUAAUUAUUAGAGUUCGUAUGGUUAUUUUUUUUUGUGCUUUUGUACAUGCAGAAUCUCUUUAGAAAUUUGUUUCCAGAUUAACGUAUUUACCAACAAAGCUAAAACGGAAGAAAUUUCAGUUGCUUCUUGGCAUGAGUAUUGCAAAGAAGGCUUG
RNAcentral lists this long non-coding RNA (359 nucleotides) under Capsella rubella. RNAcentral's name for it is "long non-coding RNA (CRUB_LNC001651)". Lineage: Eukaryota; Viridiplantae; Streptophyta; Magnoliopsida; Brassicales; Brassicaceae. The record is from RNAcentral.